ACCUGUAUUCGUGACAUCAGUUAUGACGUUGGUAAAUUCUCUGUAAAGUGACGUCAACUUUUUAUUUAAUUUGCACGAUUUCGUCAUCACUGCAACAUGUGGAUCUGUGUAGCUGUUUUGGACAGUUUUAUAUUUGUGUUAAAUAUAAAAUGAUGUGAUAUGGAUAAUGAAAUAGAAGAACUGGACAAUUUAUUGUCCGACCACUUUGGGCGAACUCCAUCGGCAUCUCAGGUGAGCUCAAAUUCCGAUGAUGGGACUUAUAUAAAUUCCCCAAAUGAUCAUUCAUUUAGAGAGGACGAAAACAGUUCAGCAGCAACUAUUGUUGAUUGUAGAGCCAGAAAGUCAUUCACCAACAUGACAUUUUAUGUAACAACAGUGAUGAGUAUGAAAGUGAUGUGGACGAUACAUACAUUGUCAGUGGUGCAUGCGCCAGUGGUGACAUGGACGCUGACUAUGCAACUAUGUCAGGCAGUUUCUCGAGAUCGGAUGUGGUUGCAAGAGUACGUGUACUGUUAAUUUUGAAAUUGGCCUGGUAUACCAUCAUAUAUUGAACAUGAGAGAAUUGACAAAGGAAGAGAAAGAUAUUAUUGUCAUGAGUAAUCUUAAGUGUGGAAAUGGCCUGACUACAAAACGAGGGAAGCCAAGGAAACUAUGACUAUAUAGCAUAUGGUCAGAACAAGAACCGCUACCUCAUUUGCUAUUUCACAUGGCGUGUGAUGACCGGCAGACAUGACGUGAUAGAAUACCACAUGCAAAUACCAGGACAUGCCAGGUGUCUGGUUGACAGUGGAUUUGGGCAUUUAAAGAAACUUUACAGGAGGUCGAACAUUGAGACAAUGACUCAUUGACCCAGAUGGUGAAUAUGUCCUCAGCAUCCAAUGAAGCAGUGAGGUAUCCGGCAUGGAACUGGCGGGAUUGGAAAGGGUUUUUGUCCCGACCGUUUUGUCCUGUACCAGCGAUAAGACAAUAUCAGUACUUCCGCAUGACGACGGAAGAGCCAGGUGUGGUCACAAUGCGCACGAAAGUCGGAUGUCCAGAGGUCAAGGUUACAGUGGCUAUGGAUGGCGUCCAUAUUCCAUACCAACGACCGCAAAUUGUAGAGGCCAAAGGACUCAGCCGAGACAGACAGGAGUACUUGUACAAAGUUGUCAGGCCAUAUCUCAGCGAUGCUAACAAGGAUGCUACUUGCCCUUGCCCAGAAACAUAACUAUAGUUAUGUCGUCGCAUCUAUCGCAUCUACGGCGAAAGAUUACACACAUUAUAAUGUCAAUGUUUACAGGCGAAUGACAAAUAACUUCAAACUUAUUCUUCACUUCUUUUUGAAUAUCCUUCAAUGUCUGUUUGAAUACAUUGGUUUAUUUAUAACACAUUUAAAUAACACUUGUUCAUAUCAAAUGAAAUAUUUGUAUUCACUUCUGCUCGUUUCUAUAGAAUUCAUGGCAAACGAAGAAUUCUGCAUACAAUAUAAGCUGUACGAUAAUUAAAUUGUGAACAUGCUAAGAAUAAUUAUAAAAAUUAUUAUAGAUUACUCGACUCCUAUUUUUUAGGAAAAGCACUUUUGGGAAAUAAAAAUCUAACAUUUCAACACAAUGAAAUUAUUUUAUUAUUAUUAUUAUUGGAUAUUGUUGGUUUAUGUAUUAAUGGUGUAAUUGAUAAUGUUUGUUUUGAUGUGUGCAUUCCUAUGAAAAACUAAAUGAUAUGUUGUGAAAAUAUGUGAGAUUGGUUUAGAAAAAAAUGAUUUAAACUGUAUGGUUUGCUGGUCGAUGUAAAUAUAAGUGGACUUUGUUGCUAAGCAACGUAUGUUAGAUUACAGUUUAAUGUUAAUCACAAAUAUUUUUAGAACAAAUAGAUACCUGAUAAUAUAUUUUUAACAAAAUAAAUGUGUUCUUAAAUGUUA
This is a long non-coding RNA of Dreissena polymorpha, 1897 nucleotides long. RefSeq lists it as uncharacterized. The transcript has 5 exons. NCBI's taxonomy places the organism in Eukaryota, Metazoa, Mollusca, Bivalvia, Myida, Dreissenidae. The record is from RefSeq and is a predicted model, not a curated record.